RNAcentral lists this ribosomal RNA (1216 nucleotides) under metagenome. RNAcentral describes it as "bacterial SSU rRNA". It matches the Rfam family "Bacterial small subunit ribosomal RNA", at positions 272 to 1498 of the family's 1533-position model. The record is from RNAcentral.
GGCAACGAUCAGUAGGGGUUCUGAGAGGAAGGUCCCCCACAUUGGAACUGAGACACGGUCCAAACUCCUACGGGAGGCAGCAGUGAGGAAUAUUGGUCAAUGGGCGAGAGCCUGAACCAGCCAAGUAGCGUGCAGGAAGACGGCCCUAUGGGUUGUAAACUGCUUUUAUAAGGGAAUAAAGUGAGUCUCGUGAGACUUUUUGCAUGUACCUUAUGAAUAAGGACCGGCUAAUUCCGUGCCAGCAGCCGCGGUAAUACUGAAGGUCCGGGCGUUAUCCGGAUUUAUUGGGUUUAAAGGGAGCGUAGGCCGGAGAUUAAGCGUGUUGUGAAAUGUAGACGCUCAACGUCUGCACUGCAGCGCGAACUGGUUUCCUUGAGUACGCACAAAGUGGGCGGAAUUCGUGGUGUAGCGGUGAAAUGCUUAGAUAUCACGAAGAACUCCGAUUGCGAAGGCAGCUCACUGGAGCGCAACUGACGCUGAAGCUCGAAAGUGCGGGUAUCGAACAGGAUUAGAUACCCUGGUAGUCCGCACGGUAAACGAUGGAUGCCCGCUGUUGGUCUGAACAGGUCAGCGGCCAAGCGAAAGCAUUAAGCAUCCCACCUGGGGAGUACGCCGGCAACGGUGAAACUCAAAGGAAUUGACGGGGGCCCGCACAAGCGGAGGAACAUGUGGUUUAAUUCGAUGAUACGCGAGGAACCUUACCCGGGCUUGAAUUGCAGAGGAAGGAUUUGGAGACAAUGACGCCCUUCGGGGUCUCUGUGAAGGUGCUGCAUGGUUGUCGUCAGCUCGUGCCGUGAGGUGUCGGCUUAAGUGCCAUAACGAGCGCAACCCCUCUCCUUAGUUGCCAUCAGGUUAAGCUGGGCACUCUGGGGACACUGCCACCGUAAGGUGUGAGGAAGGUGGGGAUGACGUCAAAUCAGCACGGCCCUUACGUCCGGGGCUACACACGUGUUACAAUGGCAGGUACAGAGAGACGGUUGUACGUAAGUACGAUCAAAUCCUUAAAGCCUGUCUCAGUUCGGACUGGGGUCUGCAACCCGACCCCACGAAGCUGGAUUCGCUAGUAAUCGCGCAUCAGCCAUGGCGCGGUGAAUACGUUCCCGGGCCUUGUACACACCGCCCGUCAAGCCAUGAAAGCCGGGGGCGCCUAAAGUCCGUGACCGUAAGGAGCGGCCUAGGGCGAAACUGGUAAUUGGGGCUAAGUCGUAACAAGGUA